RNAcentral lists this ribosomal RNA (450 nucleotides) under uncultured bacterium. RNAcentral's name for it is "bacterial SSU rRNA". It matches the Rfam family "Bacterial small subunit ribosomal RNA", at positions 30 to 474 of the family's 1533-position model. The record is from RNAcentral.
AUUGAACGCUGGCGGCAGGCCUAACACAUGCAAGUCGGACGGUAGCACAGAGGAGCUUGCUCCUUGGGUGACGAGUGGCGGACGGGUGAGUAAUGUCUGGGGAUCUGCCCGAUAGAGGGGGAUAACCACUGGAAACGGUGGCUAAUACCGCAUAACGUCGCAAGACCAAAGAGGGGGACCUUCGGGCCUCUCACUAUCGGAUGAACCCAGAUGGGAUUAGCUAGUAGGCGGGGUAAUGGCCCACCUAGGCGACGAUCCCUAGCUGGUCUGAGAGGAUGACCAGCCACACUGGAACUGAGACACGGUCCAGACUCCUACGGGAGGCAGCAGUGGGGAAUAUUGCACAAUGGGCGCAAGCCUGAUGCAGCCAUGCCGCGUGUAUGAAGAAGGCCUUCGGGUUGUAAAGUACUUUCAGCGGGGAGGAAGGCGAUGGGGUUAAUAACCUUAUCG